GACGAACCGUGCGAACGUUGUUCGGAAUCACUGGGCUUAAAGGGCACGUAGGCGGGUCGGCCAGUCUGUGGUGAAAUCCCCCGGCUUAACCGGGGAACGGCCGCGGAUACUGCCGACCUCGAGGGGGGUAGGGGCGUGCGGAACACUAGGUGGAGCGGUGAAAUGCGUUGAUAUCUAGUGGAACUCCGGUGGCGAAAGCGGCGCGCUGGACCCCUUCUGACGCUGAGGCGCGAAAGCCAGGGGAGCGAACGGG
RNAcentral lists this ribosomal RNA (253 nucleotides) under uncultured bacterium. RNAcentral's name for it is "partial 16S ribosomal RNA". It matches the Rfam family "Bacterial small subunit ribosomal RNA", at positions 524 to 776 of the family's 1533-position model. The record is from RNAcentral.